UUUAAGAAGAGGAAAGUCUGGACAGUAUAGGAUAGCGUGCUUCCUAACGGGAAGGCCUUGCUAACGCAAGGACAGAUAGUGCAACAGAGAGUAGACCGCCUUCGGGUAAGGGUGAAAGGGUGGAGUAAGAGCCCACCGUACUUCAGGUGACUGAAGUAGCUUGGUAAACCUCACGCGCUGAAAUGUCAUGUAUAUCGUGUUCCUUUGGACUCGGCGAUCCGUCGGGAGCGUGCUGCACGAGGGGUAGGCAGAUUGAUCUUAAUCGUGAGAUUAGGACUAGAUAAAUGAUAAGGGCCCGAAAGGGCACAGAAUCCGGCUUAUAG
Molecule: RNase P RNA, 323 nt
Filed under: marine eukaryotic metagenome
Description: Bacterial RNase P class A
Rfam family: Bacterial RNase P class A
About the family: Ribonuclease P (RNase P) is a ubiquitous endoribonuclease, found in archaea, bacteria and eukarya as well as chloroplasts and mitochondria. Its best characterised activity is the generation of mature 5'-ends of tRNAs by cleaving the 5'-leader elements of precursor-tRNAs. Cellular RNase Ps are ribonucleoproteins.
Source: RNAcentral